GAUGAAGGAACGCAGCGAAAUGCGAUAAGUAGUGUGAAUUGCAGAAUUCAGUGAAUCAUCGAAUCUUUGAACGCACAUUGCGCCCUUUGGUAUUCCUUAGGGCAUGCCUGUUCGAGCGUCAUUUCAACCCUCAAGCCCUGCUUGGUGUUGGGCGUUUGUCCUGCCUCCGCGCGGGACUCGCCUCAAAGACAUUGGCGGCCGGUUUCCCUUUGCAGGCCACGAGCGCAGCACAGCGAGCGCUCUACGUGGACGCGGGGUCGGCGCACCAGAAGCCCUCUUUCUCGAAUUUUGACCUCGGAUCAGGUAGGGAUACCCGCUGAACUUAAGCAUAUCAAUAAGCGGAGGA
Molecule: unclassified non-coding RNA, 346 nt
Filed under: soil metagenome
Description: partial contains 5.8S ribosomal RNA, internal transcribed spacer 2, and large subunit ribosomal RNA
Rfam family: 5.8S ribosomal RNA (bases 1-121)
Source: RNAcentral